Molecule: long non-coding RNA, 29455 nt
Filed under: Lathyrus oleraceus (garden pea)
Lineage: Eukaryota; Viridiplantae; Streptophyta; Magnoliopsida; Fabales; Fabaceae
Description: Pisum sativum (pea) long non-coding RNA (PSAT_LNC030117)
Source: RNAcentral
UAAAUAUUAAACAAAAAUUAUAUAUGCAUAUAGUCAAAUUAUUGAAGAUGUUAGUUGGUAUCAAACAUGUGAUUUUGCUUUAUUAUCCUUUUUUAAAUAGCAUAAAAAGAAAAUAUCAGUGACAUAAAGAUACAACCUAUCUAAAUAACUAGAGUCAUAUUACAAUUUACAGUAAAGGCAAUGAAUCCCAAUAUAAAAAUCACUUGACACAUACGUCAUUAAAUCAACCUAAAUCUAAGCACAACUUGAACAAAAUCACAUAAAUACAUUAUCUAUAUCAAACUAAAAUUUACAUGACAGCAGAAUUAUAUUUUAACAGUUCAAUGUUAGCAAUAUCAAGGAGUUAAAAAUAAAAGAAUAGAAAUGAGUGAUAAGAUUCAUACAUAAAACUUCAUAUAGAAAACUUCAUGUAGAAAAAUAAGAGUAACGGUAGCAGAGGUAUAACAAUUCAACCUCAUGUAGAAAAUGAAUGAACUCUAACCAAACAUACACAAGAACAUGAAUGACAAAUAAUAUGGAUAAAACGUUUUCCUACCGUGAGUAGUGCAUUACAACAGAAUAAACUGACAAACAAAAUAUCCAAUAUAAUUGAAUCAAAAAUAUACACAGUGAAGUAAACACAUCAACAACAUAUAAACUUCAACGAGUUCGAGUUAUUACCGACGGAAAUGACGAUAACUGUUGUAUUUGAUACGUAACGGAGUACCCUUCGUGGUGGACAUGUUCAGAUUUAUGAUUUCGUUGUUGUUGCUUGUUGACUUAUGGUCAGAGCUUCUAGUGGCGACUGGAGUUGUUGUUUCAAGCAGUGUAGUGUACGACGAGCCGAAUGAAGCAAUGUCGGUGGAGUUGCUCACGUUGAGAUUAUGCUUGUUAGAGUGACGGAAGCAAGAUGAUGUGUGUGAGGUUAGGGUGAAGUAGGUUCAGAUUUUUCCGGAAAAUGAAACGGAGGGAGAUCAGAUCUGAGUUGUUUAAGUGGUUAGAUUUAAGAUGGAAGUCAACACGGAGUUGCCGGUGUGAGUCGGUGAGUGAAGUAGAAACGGAAGAUGAGAUUCGAUGGCUUUUCGGUGAGUUAAGGUUGAUGCGGUGGUUGUUAGAUGUUACCGUGUGAGGCAACUUGAUGGUUAGGAAAUAAAGGAUGGUGUUCAGCGGUAUUUUACGGUUGUUUUUGCAUAGUGAGGUUUAGAGGAGUAAGAGGAAGAACAAGGAUGGAUGUGAUUUUGACUGGAAAAAUAAAUAGUGGUCGAAGGGGGUUGGUAAACCGUGUUUGGGUGAAAAUGAUUUUGAGGUUGUAACGACACGGUUAUGAGGUGUUGUUGUAAAAUGAAGUAUUGUUGGAAUGGAGAUUUUUUGGAGAGAACAUCUUUCUGAAAUCUGAAUGAGAGAGUGAAGUGGGAAAGACGUGAGAAUCGUGAGUGAUUGAGAGGAGAGAUUUGUGAGGAUUGUGGCCAAUUAUUGAGAGAGAGAAAAAAACGUGUCAGGGAGAGAGAGAGAAAGUCGUUUUUUAUUUACUCCUUUUUGUUUUUUUAUAUAUUACUAUUAUUAUUAAUUCAUUCUUCUAUUGGUGAAUAAAGAUGCACAUGGAUAGCUAACAUGGAUUGUUGAUUACUUAUGAUUUAAUGGUUGAGAUCCAUUGACAGAAACACAAAUUGCAACCAACUUUUAAAAUGCCUAAAAUGCCUCUCUUAGAUGAUUUAAUUGAUUUAAAUAGUUUAUAUCAAUUAAAUCCAAUAAAAUUGACAACUUCAAAAAUGAAUAUGAUAAAAAUAAAAUGAAGACAUGGAAAAUCCUAUUUAUUUUUUGUGAAUAUUUUGGCGAAAUAAUAAAAAUAAAAUGACUAGAAAUGAAUAAAUGUCGGGCGAAAAUUUGCUCAAAAAAUUAAAUCGGUCACACUAAAUUGAUCAACAUAAAAUAUACUUACUGAAAAAAUACAGCGUUUCUUCAAAUUCUGAAAUAAAUUUUCAUCGAUUAAAAGACUCAAACGGAUUAAAAUGCAGCUGAACAAGUUGCCGAAAAAUAUUACGAGCACACCAGGCUAAACUACGUGAACCGUAGAUUAAUAAUACUGACGUCUGCAAAUUUAAUUUCAAAACUUUUUACCCGCUGAUUUUGCACGUACUUUAGAAAUGAUUUAACCAAUUUGUCUGUAUUUUCAAUAAAUUUAUCCUGACUGAUAUUUCAGGUAUUAUUUAUGAUGAAAUGCAUGUUAUGUUGUACAACUGAUGCAAAUUGAAAUAAAAAUCGAAUUUAUGAAAUUUUUAAAAUGCCCGGACAAAAUUGGGGUAUGACAGAUUGCAUCCCAUUGGUCAGAUCCUUUCAACCCUUAACUUUUAAUUUUUGUUUAGGAUAGUCCCUUCAUCUCCCCUCACUUCUUAAAUUUCAAAAUCUCUCCCUCUUUUCAAAAACUUGUUUUGCUUGUAAUUUCUAACUUAGACAUGUUUUAAUGAUUAGAAACUUUGGCCCUAUGCCAAUGAAUUUUAAGAUCUUUUCUUAAUCAAAAUUGUAAAUGAAGUUAACCAUAUUGACUUUAAUUUCAAAAAUACAAAAAUAACUAACAACCUCAUUCAAAACUUUGCCCUUUUGUGCUUUCUUAUCAAACUUUUUCUAAAAGCAAUUCACCAACUUUCUUUGAAAUUUUUACCACGAACUACGAGGUUUAGAUCCCUUAUUUUUAUGUUGGUACGUAGGCAUAAGACCGAAGGUCUUGUCAAACACAAAAAUAUAAUUAAUGAAUUCUCUUCUCAUCCCCUCAUUCUUUUUUGUCAAACAUCAUUUAGACCAAAUCACUUGCACACAAAAAAUGGCUCCCUAGGAGUACCUAGGACACUUUGGGUGCUAAUACCUUCCCUUUGUGUAACCGACCCCCUUACCUGUAAUCUCUGGCAUUUUAUUAUUUUUGAUUUGAAAACUUCUUAUCUUUGGGUUUUGUUCGUAAUUUUUCCCUUUUCCUUUGGAAAGAAUAAAACCGCGGUGGCGACUCUGGUUUUAUUGACGUCAAGUUUAUCCAUAGCUUGAUGGUCAUGAAUUUACUGCUACACUAUACCAGUUUCCCCCAAGGCUUGUCAGAUGUAUACUAGCCGAGAAGUCUUUCAAAGUUGUGUCCGACCUCUAGCAGUUAUGUCUGGCCAUAGUGAGAAUACACAAGGUAACAAAAUGAUUACAAAAGUAAUGGGUAACAAGUGUAUUAAAUGAUCUCCCAUCAUUGAAAUGUCUCACUGGCUUUUCCAGACACGUGGCUUUAUCCUCAAAGUUUAGGCAUGGCAUUUUCGCCUUGGGCAUUUGAGUGGACUUGAAUUUGUAUGUGUUACCUAGGUGAAAUAUGGCCUUUUAUUUUUAACUUCUUAUUUCCUUGUUCUAUAUAUAAAGACCUCUUUACCUUUGGGAGAAUUUUCUGUGGAACCUUGUUUUGCAGGUGAUAUGAUUUUAACAAGGACAACAACUUUUGUUGAACUCUUUAUCAUGAAAACUAAUUGAUGAUGACUCCAAUGUCUUCUAGUAAGUCGAGCAUAAGUUAUUAAGCGGAUAAAGAUGCAAACAUAAGUAUUAGGGUUUGAUGGACUUGACUAUUUGAUGAUGACAACAAAUGGAAUAUAAGCUCAAGACUCAUCUCAAGUGAACUCGAGCAAGUGUCUACAAAAGAAAGCAUAUGAAAAAAUAUUGAAGUGAAAUAAAGCCCUAUCUUAGUCCUAGUGAAUGUUUUGUAAAGAAAAAGAUCAUUCUCGUAAAAGUGCAAGACUAACACACACAAACACAAACGCGCACAGUAAAAAAUAUUUUCAAACUAAUUUUUCUCAUGAAAAUAUCUUCAAAAACAUCUUGAAGUUGUGCCAAAUGAAUUGAGAGAAAUCAUAAUUACUAUGGGGAAUUUUUUGUCUUUUCACAUCGAUUGGGACACUUAUCUAAUUGAUUAAAUCAGUUCAGAAUUGAGAUCUAAGCGAUUACAACAACACCUUAAUGAUGUAAAACGGCUAAAUAUAUUUUCCUGCCUAUUUUGAACUGGUAAUGGAUUACCUUUAAAGUUUCUAAUGAAUUAGCAUUAGGUGAUAAUUGAUUAGAUUGUCUUAAAAGGAAAUAAAAUAAGUUUUUUUAGCCAACCUCUAGCCUAUAAAUAGAGGUCCCUUCUCUCAAUUCAGACCAUCUAGAAUUGUGUUUUAACACUUUUCACUUUAUCUCUCUCUCUCUCUCUCUCCCCUCUCUAGAACUUUUUUUUUACUUUCUCUCACUAAUAUUUUUAUCUGAAGUGCUUCUACAAGAAGGUUCUUUUGUGAGUGAGGAUAAACUGUUAUUCUGAAAGGGUGGAAUUGUAAAAUUCACCAAGGGAAUAUUUUGUAUACACUUUGGUUGAAUAUUAUCAAUUUAGGAUUUUUUUUGGGUUAGAAGCUAAACUCGUAAAAGCUUUUAGUUUGGGGAUUAUUUGAUACAACCCUUGUUUAGGUUCGAGAUCAGCCCAAGGUAAAAUCUUAUUAGGUUCCUCGUUAUCUCAGGAUAAAACCAAGGACAUAUUAAAGCUUAGUACAAUAUUAAAAGCUUGGAUAAGGUUCAAGAUUAGACCAAUAUUAGAAUCUCUCAAGUUAUUGAUUAGCCCAUGUAAAACCAAGAUUUAAGGUUCAUGAGCUCAGACGUGAUAAAAGCUUACAAAACUUGUUUAGAAGCUUGAAGACUAACUGCUCCAAGAUUCUCGUGAAAAGAAGACUAACUGCUUUGAUCUGCCCUUUUUGGAAAAGGGACUAACCACUUCAAUAUACUGUUUGGAAGAGAAGACUCAAACUUAUAAAUUCCAAGUGUUAUUGUUUUGGUUGGAAGUCAAUUGUUUUCCUUUUAUAAGGAAUUCGUGAGUAUUACUUACAAAAAUCUCUGAAAGUUUAUUAAAUACUCUCAAGAUCAAUUCUUGGAGAGAGGAGUAGGUCAUUUUCUUGUUUGAUUGAACCUCUAUAUAUAUUAGUGUUCUCUCUUUCCCUUACUUUUUCUUUUCUUCAAUUUACAUUCUGCAAUUUAGUUAUGAUGUUGCUUAACACUUAAACAUUCUCAAAAAAUUGUAAGGACUACUCGUCUCAAGAGGAAGAUGACUUCCGACUAGAAAUAUUUUCUAAACAUAGCACCACUUUUUAAUGAUAGUAGAUUUAAUAUUUGGAAAACUAGGUUUAGAAUUUUUCUUCAAAGUUUAAAUAACGAAUUAUGGGAAACAAUAAUCAAUGGUCCAUUUAUUCCUAAUCAUCAAGUAAAUAAUGAAGUAGUAUUUUAACCCAAAUCCCUUUGGACCGAAGAGGAAAAGAGCAAAUUUGAGGGAGAUUUUAAAACCAAGAACUUUAUAAUAAUGUAUCUAGAGUAUAAUAAACUUUAUUAUACUCAUCAUUGUAAAAUCUCCAAGGAAAUUCGGGAUACUCUUGAAAUGACAUAUGAAGCUCUUCCAAGUAUCGAACAAGAGAAUAUGAACACACAAGGCAAAUAAAAAGUUACCACUCUUGGAUGUUUUUCAAAUUUUAGAAGUAUUGGAAAUUAUGUUAUAAGUUGUAUCACUAACAAAUAUCUAAGACUUAAGAAUUGGAAGUUUAAUCCAACUCUUAAAUCAAAAUAUGGGAUCCUUCAUGAAUUUCAGGAAAAAUCAAGAAAGAAGGAAAUUGUAGAGAAGUUAAACGAACUAGUUCAACUACUCAAAGAUGAAGAAACAAAAACCGAAGAAUCAUAAACUUCAUCAUACUCCUACCAUACAACUCCAAUGGAAUCCUUUGAAAGAACAUACUCAAUAGUUGAAUAAUCCUCGAAAGAUUCAACAUCAAUUUAAGGACCCUCUUGUUCAAGGAACGACAAAGAAGAAGAAGUUUCUUCAAUACACGAACGAAGAGAAGGAGAAGAGACAUCAACCUUGGGGAGAAAUGUGAAAGAAAUCAUUUUCCAAGAAAGAAGAUCAAAUAUUCUUAAAGGCAUCCUACGAGGUAGAUGCUAUUCCCGAUAUCAAACCAUCUUAUGCUCAACUAUUUAGAAUGAAUGGUCAUUUAGUGAAAGAAAAUGAUGAACUAAGAGAAAGUACCAUAGGUCUUAAGGAAUUACUAAGACAUCUCAAAGAAAUAAAUAAUUCAUUCAAGAUAGAAAUAACUAAGAUUAGAAAUUAAAAAGACGAAUGUAAAUGGUGUGACUCCCUUAUAAAAUAAGUAACUAUUAUUUAUGAAACCCUAUGAAAGUUUACCCAAGGAAAAUAGAAGCUUGACCUGGUCUUAUCAAGUCAAAGAUUCUCCAUAAAUAAAAAUGGACUAUGAUUUAAAAAGGAUAGAAAGCAUAUGAAAGAUAUAAAUCAUAAGGAAAAGAAGCGUCAUGUUUAUAAGUGCACAUACUAUACAAGAAUAUGACAUUUAGAACCUUUUUGUUUACAUAAAUUGAAAAGAUCUAAAGGUAACCACCCUAGAUCUUCUAGGACUAAUGCACCCGGGCCCAAGAAAAUAGAGACACCAAAGGUAAAAUCUUAGUGUUUUGCAGGUAUGCUUUGUAACUCGGGGAUUUAACGAUUAUUAGUGGAGCUCUACAAAGCAAUAGUGUACUUCUAAAGUAUACAAAAUUUAUGAAGUCUCUGAUCCAACAAUGAUAACCAAUAGUCGUGAUCAAAGAAAAAUGUUUGAGAAUAUCUCAAAGUUUAUGAUCCUUAGUGAUCAGAUAAAUGAAUAUGUGUGUAAUAGACUUUCUCGUUUUGUUGUUUAUAAGGAAUUUUGUGUUUGAAAAAACUCAAAAGAGGUGCCCCAAAUUGGUUAGAAUGCUCUAUGCUAAUCUCUCAUACAAAGAUGGCAUCAUCAACUCCAAAGUCAAGAAACAUCCCAUCACCAUGUAUCUUGAACAUUUUCCUCAAGAAUUCAACCUACCUUUAAUGGGGGAAUAUUAUGAUCAACUGGAUCUUGAAGGUAAUGAAUUUAAUUUUGAAAUUCAUGCCCACUUUCUUCUUAUUGAUCCCGCUUCUGGAUUUCCAACUCCCUUGAAUGUUGGCCUAAUUUGUCCAAAUGUUAGAUCAAUUCAUUACACAAUGAAUCUUGUACUUUCACCAAGGAAAGGUAACUAUAGUAUCCUCCAAAAUUAGAUGUCCGUACUGAAACUAUGUUCUUAGGAGGAAUUUAUGUCUGACACAAUGUGUAUGACAAGUAAAAUGUGUAUUAGACAAAAUAAAGGCAUAAUAAAAAACAUAGAAAUUGUUAACCCAGUUCGGCGCAACAUCAACUAUGUUUUGGGGGAAUUCAACUCAAGAAAUGAAAUCCACUAUCAAUAGUAAAAGUAUAAAUAGUCUUAGAUGAACAAACCUUGUUCAACACCUCUCUUCCUAAUACUACUUGUGAAUUUAUAUUCAAGAGCUUUAGUUUCCCUUGCUUUCAUUACUCUGGAGAUAGAGGUUGCCGUUUUGAAUAUGGAGGAAGUAUGAAAUUUGAUUAAGACUUACCAUACUACUUACAACUAGGAUAUGAGUGAUGUUGAGGUUAGUGGUCAUAUGGUGUGUGGAACCCCGUCGAAGGGUGUCAGCUAGCUCAAACCCUUCGAGAUAUUUUGGGAUGAUCAGAUACAUCUAAAAGGAAUCAAGUUAAUCAAUAUGGACGAUGCAAGCAAAUAUAGCUGGGUGGACUGAGACAUAUUGGAACCCCUUUUGUUUUUAGUGAUCUGGAGUUUGUUAGUGUGAUUAACAUCUUAGUCGACCGCCUAUCUAAUUGGUUAGUUCUUCCUGUAGACUCAAGCAAGAGGAUAUGUAGCAAUUUAUAGGACUUCUCCAUUCCUUUUAAGAGUAAUUCUUCAAUGGGAUAAACCCAAGAUUAACCUUAUUCAAGUUUUAGGUGGAGGUGUUAAAGUUUUUGAAGGUUUCCCACUCACAGCUCCAUCAUGGUUCCUAGGCUUUUAUAAAGGUGUUAUAAUUAUGGGCCGAGAAUAGUUCUUGGAAACCCUCAUACCAGUUGUUUUUCCUUCUCUUCAUUGUAAAACACACCUCUAGGUAUAACAUCAAAGAUCAAGGACUUAUAGUGAUAUGUGAAAAUUUUCCUAGUUUAGUUCUUUAUCCUAGAUAUUGGAUGUUUCCAGGUGUACUUCAUGUUGGUGAAGACCUAUACUUUGGAAGCUUGCUCCACGCCCUGUCGUGUUUCUAUUGGUUCUUCUCAUUCAUGCUCGGAUAGGUUUCAAAAAUACUGAAUGUGGGUCCAUUUACAUCGUGAACCUGAUUCGUAUAUAUUUCAACUAGAAUCUUUCACCCUUGAAGAGGUUAUUAUGUAGACAAAUAUAAGAACUCUUUAUUGUUAUUUUGAUUAGAUGCUUUAGGUUAAACAACAUGGACGACAAGAUGUAAAAUUAAGAAGAGGCAUCAUGUGGGACAAGAUGUUCCAAUAUGAGUGCAGCAUAUGACCCUAGUCUGUAAGCCAAUGUUCGUGAGUAAAUAUGAGUGUGAUUAUGUUUAAUUCCUAUGAUAUUUGUGGUUUUAUAUUUUAGCAAUAUGUUAUUUAGAAAUAUUUUCUGAAAAUAUUAUUCAUGUUCAAAUCAAAUUAAAAAAUAUUUAAUUUUCAAAUCAAAUAAAAUCUCUUGAUGGAUGUUUUUGAAAAGAAAAUCAAAUCUGCAUCCAAAUCAAAUAUGGUUGAUCUAAAAUUAGAAUCCCAUUGGAGAAAAUCCCAACAUAUGGUUUUCUAUAUAAGAUGACUCAUUCCUAACAAAGAAAACACGAGCAAGAGUUGAAGAUCUAAUGUGUUAGGGUUUGUUCUUUGAGUCUUUUUAAUUAUUUCUAUUUGCGCACCUCUAUAGCGCGUAAGUUCCAUAUCUAAUGCAUAGAGGUUUUUUUGUUAGUUAAGUUGUAAUUCAAUAAUCUUUAAAUUUGUUUUAUGUAUUGAUCACGUGAUCGAGAGAAAGUGAGAUGGAUUAUAAUAUUUAGGGGGAGCCAUAUAUAGAAAGACACAUGUAGUAUUAGGAAGAGAGUCAUUGAACAAGGUUUGUUCAUCAGAUACUAUUUAUACUAAUACUAUUUAGAGUGGAUUUUCUUUCAUGGUUUGGAAGCCCCCCAGAUGUUGAUGACAUUGUAGCGAUUUGGGUGUCGCAACAGGAAAAAUUUGAGAUUAAGCUGUUGAUUAACUUAACUCAGAAAACUCAAGAUUCGCCACCAAACAUUAUUAUUUCCAAAGGGAAUGGGAAAAGGUCGAAAAAAACCCACAAAAAGGUAAAAUAAAAGAGAAGUCUGGAUACGGGGGUUGGUUAUGCAAGGUGAAGGUAUUAGCACCUGUCACAUCCAUGGUACUCCAUAGGAACCACUUGUAAAUUUGUGUUUAUGAAAAAUAUGGGUUGUUUAUUUGAUCGAUUUUAAUUUGAAAAGACAUUUUGUUGUAUUCGAGUGGAAAAACUCAACUUACUACCCACAAGUAUGAGGAAAUGAGCAUUUGCAUCAUCUUGAUAUGGAGAACUUUUACUAGGAGUUUCUCACAAGCAAUGCUCAACAUUCAAGUGGAAAAUAUCAAUCAUUUCUCAACAUAUUGUAGAAGUAUAAAGGUUUGUAUCACUACGAGAAUAGAAUAAUAUCCAAUCUCUUAAAAAAAGGCUCUUAAAGAAAAAUGCACAAAGGCAUAAAAAAAGUUUGAUGACGUUUGUCUUUUUUAGAAGUUUGAAAAAAGAUUUUGAGAAUGCUUAAGUGUUUUAGCAUUUAUUUAGAAAAAUAUUUUCUAGAUCACUUGACAAAGUCAAGGUUUAUUAGGAAAAUGGUGUGAUGUUUUGAAAAUAAGAAGUUUUUUUGAAAUAGAGAGAAGUUUUAAAAAUUGAAGAAGUGGGAAGGAGAGGAAGAGACUAUCCUAAAGCAUAAAGUAAAUGAUAUGAAAUAAAAGGCCUCAUUGUAAGAUAGCCCGAGAGAAAGCCUUUGUGUGUGCAAGUGUACUAACCACAAGAUGGAUCAGGCAGUUGACAUUGGUAAAAACAAGCAUUACUUUCCCUUUUGGAUUGAGCCACAAGAUAAAAGCUUGUAAGCAGAUGAAUAUCAGAAGAUCCAGAUGAACACAAAGCCAUAUAGACAUCCAAGUCUUGAAUUGAAGAUCAAAGAGUCCAGAGGGAUCACAAAGUCUCAUAUGAAUCACAAAGUGUUAGAUAAACUUCGAGCAAGGGGAAAUAACUAAGCCUUAAAGUCCAAAGUCCAAAAUACUCCUCAAGCAAGGGAUAGUAACACAAAGUCCAUAAGAUCAGAUUAGAGCUUUUUAGGGUUUUAGUCAUUUUAUCAUGUUUUUCUUCUUUUGAAAUAAGAAAGCAAAAUGGGCAAAAAGUAAAAGGGCCAGAAUAUAAAUGACAUGGAUGUAAAAUGCAUAAAGUAAAUGCAUAAAGUAAAUGUUAUGAGCUUAGAUGUAACAAGAUAGUGAUCAAGAGGCAAACAAUGCAUGUAGCAAUCAUGUUAGAGUGUGGAUAUAACAUCAAACUCUAAAGGCAUGAAGCAUAAUAGUUCAAAACUCAAAGAAGAAAGAAGAGAACAAAAGGCAAAAUGAAAUCAAGCUCGGGUAUUUUACUUAGGAUCCACUAUCAACUAGUCAAGGUACCCAAACAUAUGGCACAACUUAGAGAUGACCUGUCAUUAACUCAAAGUGUCAAAAAUAAGAUCAAAUGAUCAUCUGUCAACAUAUUGAAUCAGAGAAAAUUGAAUCAACCUUAGAGACUAUCUAUGGAUGACUUGAAAUAUACAGGCAUUAAUCAACCAGUCAACAACUCAAGUCAAACAAAAGUCAACCAAAAAUCAAACAAAAAUGCAUUAAAAGGAAAAUUAAAAUGACUUUUAAAUAGAAGAUAAAGAGAAAAUUCAAAUAGAGCACCAAAAUAUAAAAGAAAUAGUUGAGAAAAUCAUGAGAGGUUAGGAAUAUUACAAAUGAAAAGAUCUCAAAAGUUGGAUGCAAAAAUAUUUGAAAAUGAUCAAGAAUAAAAUGGAAAAUGAAAAUUAAAUGAAAAAUAAAUGAAAAUAUCAAUUAAAUGCAAAAAUAUUUUAAAAAUUAUGCAAAAAAAAUAUGUGAUGCAAAAUAUUUUUAUAGAUUUUUUGUAAUAAAUUUGAUGAAAAAUGAAUUAAAAAUGAGGGAGAAAUUAAAUGGAAAAGAAAUGAAAUAAAAGAAAUAAAAAUGAAAAUAGAAUUAGGGCCAACAGUCAAAAUAUUUGAAGAAAGCGCGUGGAAGCUUUUGAUUGGUUGUGUUUGAAUAUUGACACCAAAGCGCAUGGAAUUCAACUUUUCUUUCAACCUUUAGCUCAAUUUGGCAAAUCCCUGAACUUGUGUUUUUAGCAACACCUAAGUAUGGAGUUAGCUUCGUAACACAUCAUCGUUCAUUCCUCUUUGAAUCAGAGACAUUGAUUGGUUAUAAGCAAAAAGAAUUUGUUCAAGAACCGUAGUUCUCCAAAGUAAAAUUAAAUGAUGAAUACUAAGAGUAAAUUCAAGGUAAUUAGGGGAUUUUGAUCAGUGAAUCACGACGAACACACUGGACACUUGUUUACUCAUAAAUGUAACUCGUAUCUACCUUUCCUGUUGAAGCUUCAAAGGUCAAUGACGGUGGAUUUGGAAGUCUGGUUCCAAGGAGUUUUAAACCACGACAAUGCUUCAGUUAGCUUCAGAAGGUGCCGAUGAGUGAUUCUGGGAAAAGAUUUGAAGCUAAAAGAUAUUGAAUCAAAGAAAUGGUUAACUGGUUUUUUGAGGUAUCGGGCUCAAAUGGUUUCAGCGUUUAUUUGGUUAUCCAAGCUUGAAAAUGGAGGAAAAUGCUUCCUCUAUUUAUAGGAAAAGUGUUGUUGAGCUCACACAUGUGAAAUAGAUCUGAACUCAUGUGAAUGGAGUUGGAUCUUUGUUGAUUUGCAAUCCUUGUGAGAGCAAGGGUGAAAAGUGUGACUUGGGCAUGAGACUUGGUUGUUUUACACUCCAAUCUAUGCGUUUUACAAAUACAAACAAGUUUGCACAUGUAUUGGUGGUCCCAAGUGAAGAUUUGGAUGUCUACAAGUCACAGGUCAUGCAUGAAAUGCAAAGUUCAUGGUACCAUGUUUGAGCUUAGGCCAAAUGAAAUCCACUUGUGUGUUUUGAGAUGUUCUUUGUGCCAAAUGAUCUCCACAUAGUGAAGAAUAAAACACAAAUGAAUUAAAUCAAAAGAAUACUUGAGUUGAAAAUGGUAUGGAUGGAAAGUUGAGGUCGUGAUCGGGAAUUCUAGGCCAGGUAUUAGGUCAACCAUGUCUUGGGCCUACUUUUGUGCACACAUUGGCAUCUUGGCCAAUUCCAAAAUUGAUGGACUUAGAGGAAAAACUUAUGUUUAACCCUUGAGCAAAGUUGUAUAGGAGUUCAAAUAUGACAUUUGGCUCGAAGUAGAUUCCAAAAGUAUUGAGAAAUGACAGAGUUAUGGUGUUUGGACUAAGUGACAUGCCAUACUUGAUUUUAGGUCAACCAAACAUGUACCAACUUGUGAUUUAUUUCCAUUUCUUGCAUCCAAAGGCCCAAUGAUGAAAACUUGAACAAAAAAUGAGGGAAACUUGAUUGUCCCUUGAAAUAUCUUGAUGAUUGCUUGCAAAUUGGAUGGAGACGACAUGGAAAUAAAGACAUGAACCAUAUUUGAAUCAACUUUGAAAUCAUGCACAAACUUGAACUUAUCUUGAUCAAGUGAUGAUGAAUGAAGAUUUAAAUGAACAUGGCCUAAGGUUAUAGGUCAUGCCUUGAAAAGUAAAAGCUCUUGUGAACCACUUGUUGACCCAACUUUAACUUUGGGCAUCAAAACCCUACUUUAGAAACCAAGCUUGAUCGUUUGAUUGUAAGUCCCUACCUUACACAAUAAUAAAAAGGAAACAACGCAUAUUUUUUUAUUUUGAAUAAGGUUAGAAACGUUAGAACGCAUGCAAACAAAAAAGGUAAAAGAAAACACAAAAAAGGUGCUUGAUGAUCUCCCAUCAAAGGUAACCCCAAAUAGGUGAAGGUUAAGAAGAUACCAUGCUUCUGAUCUUGGUUGAAAUGGAAAUGAUAUGAUAGGUGGAAUAUUAGAGGUAAAAUCCCGGUAUGACACUAGGUUAACAAUCAUGUGUAUGUAGCGGUGAAUUCAUGACCACUGAGCUAUUGGUUAACUCAACAUAAAUAAAACAAGAGUCACCAUCGCGAUUUUAUUAUUUCCAGAGGAAAAUGGAGAAAGUACAAACAAAACCCGAAGAUAAGAAGUUUUAAAAUCAAAACGAAUAAAAUGUCAGAGAUUACAAGUAAGGGGGUUGGUUACACAGAGGGAAGAUAUUAGCACCCAAAGUGUCCUAGGUAAUCCUAGGGAGCCCAUUUUGUGUGUAAGUGUUUUGGUUGAAAAAGAUGUUUGCUUAAAAUUAGAAUGAGGGGAUGAGAAAAGAAUUCAUUAUUUACAUUUUUUGUUUGACAAGGCUUUUGGUCUUGUGUCUACGUACCCACAUAAAGUGAGGGAUCAAAACUACGUAGUUCAUGGUAAAAAAUUCAAAGAUGGGUGGAUUGAUUUUAACAUAAUCUUAAAGAUCUUUUGUUAUCAAUGGGAGAAUACUCAACGAAACAUCCACCGAUAAUGAGGGCUUUACAACAUUUAAGAGGGAGGGCUCCAACUUGGACUAAAUCAAAAUGUAUGCCACUAACCCCUAAUAAAUAGAAAGUCUUACACUCAACAUAUCAUGGAAUGGGAGAAUUACAUAUCAACCAAGGAUAACUCAAAUCUAAUUGCUUUCUUUUGAAAGAAGUUUUAAAGGAAAAAGGCACAAAAGGUCCAAAAUGGUUAGAUGAGUUUGUUAGUUCUUUUUUGUCUUUUUGAAAAUAGAGUCAAUAUGAUUAAGUCCUUUUACAAAUUUGAUUAAGAACGUAGUUUGAAAAUCAGUGGCAUAAGGCCAAGGUUUCUACUCAUUAAAACAAGUAUAAGUUGAAAAAAAAACAAGCAAAGAAGUUUUGAAAAUGAGAGGGAGAGGUUUUGAAAUUAAAUAAGAAGGAGCAGGAGAUGAAGGGACUAUCUUAGACAAGAUUUAAAAUUUUAGAGUUGAAAAGAUCUAAUCCAUGGGAAGCAUCCACAAGACAAUAAUGUCAGAUAGCAACCCAUUUCCUUUGGAUUGUCAAGCAAACAACAAAGCCAUAAUCAUCCAAGCAAUUAAUAAGAAGACCAAAUGGUAUCAAAUAAAGAUAACCAAACAUCCAAGCAAGCACUCCAAAGCAAGCAAUCUUCAAUGUCCUUUAGAUGUAUCAGAUGAAAAAUCCCUUUGAAGCAUACUCACAGAGAAAACAUCAAAUGAUAACAAUAAGACCAAAAUAACAAAUUAGACAGAGAGAAUGAGUGUAUUAGUUAAACCAAAGGAGUCUCUCAAGCUUGUAUAACAUGAAUGACAUGGUCUAAAUCGUUAGUCUCAAAUUAAUGGCAUUGGCCAAGUAUCUUCCAUAGCUCAGGAAUGUUGUCCACUCUAAGUCCAUAUGUCCAAAUUAAGUCACAGACAGAGGCUCAACAGUCCACCAAUGUAUUUUUUAGGGUUUUUGUCUUUAUUAAGUGUUUUAAGGUCCUAAGGCAACAAACAGAACAAGAUCACAAGCACAAAAUAUAUGACAAGCACAAAUACAAUGGCUCAAGUGAGUAAAAUGAAAAUGACUAAAGCAUAAACAUUAGCUUAAGUGGGUAAAGAGAAAAUAUGAUAUGAGAUGCUAAAAUAAAAGCAUAAAUUUAAUAACAAGAAAUAAAAGCAAGAAGUAGAUGACACUAAGAUAAAGAUAAUGUAAUAAGAUAUUAGUUAAUGUUAGUGAAAAAGAAAAAAUGUUUUAGUCAUUCUUUGGAGAACACUCCACCAUUCACCCACAAGCAUGAAAAUAUGAACCCAUGCAUCCUUUAUGAGAAGGGCUCCAACUUGGAUAAAAUCAACAAGUAUGCCACUAACUCUCAUAAAUGGAAAAGGAGCAAAAUUUUCACACGGUACCAUGAGGAAUAGGAGACUUGCAAUCUCACUUACAAGAAUGCCAUUUCCUUUGGGACAAAUUUAGCGCUAUGUUAAGAAAUCAUAAUUUGACUUAUUUAGAUGUCACAACUAUCUGUGGCCGGUCAAUAAUAAUGUUAGUGUUAAUGCAUGCUAGAGACAAGGUAUCAAGACCAAGCUUCUAAAUCAUACCACACACAAAAAUAAGAGGGGAUGAGCCUAUCUCAAUCAUACGCAUGUUGAUUCAUCUGACACAAGGUCAUUGAUGAAUCAACUAGCAUUUGAUCUUGAGGGAUGAAGUUCAAACUUCAUGAACCCCCUAAAUCCAAUGGUUUUGACCAAGUCAAGGUCCAAUUCAACCAAAACUAAGACCAAGACCAAACAAAAGUAGAGUCAACACCAAGUCAACACAAGAGCUCAACAAAACAUUAAAGUAAUUAAACCAAUUUAAAACAAAUUUUAAAAUGAAGAAAAUAAAUCAUUAAAGGUCAAAAUCCUAAAACCCCUUUAAAUCACCAAAGAAAUGGCCAAGGGAUUUAUCAUAGGUCAAACAAGGUCAAAGGACCAUUGACUAGUUUCUUUGGCAUUUUCCAAAAGCCAGAAGUAUUUAAAAAUCAAUUAAAACAAUUCAAAAAUCACAAGAUUCACUAAAUAUAUCAAACUCAAUCCAAAAUUUAAUUUUAAAUAAAAAAUGGGAAGAGGAAAUUAUUUGCAAAAUUUUCGUGGUGGUCCCAUAAUUUUUGGAUUAAAAAUGAAAUUAUAGUGAAUAUUUGAAGAAAAUUCUAAUUUAAAAAUAAUUUACAAAAUUAAAAUAAAACAAAAAAACAUGGGCCAUCAGAUCUCCCUCAUUAAUUGAGGUGGCAGAUCUGAUGGCCACAACCACACGCUCCAUCAUGCACCACGGUCAAUGCGUGUACACACACUUGGUAAUCAGAAGCAAGGGUCAGGAUUAAAACAUAGAAUGAAGAUAUGAGGGUGAGGAGCAAGCCAACACACCACCGGAGCCGUAGCUCUGGUCGUCUUCUCCGGUGAGACUCACCAGACUCGUCAAACCAAAAAGUUUACAAAAGUUGAUGGAUCAUAUACCAAUUUAAAGAGAAAAAUGCAAGGAACACGAAUAUGACCUCCAAUUCUUCCAUCUCUCACUCUAUAAUCAUAAAAGUGGAGUUGAAAUUCGAGGUGUCCAAACCAGUUGCUUCAAUUCAAGUCCAAAAUAACUCAGGAACGUUGCCUACAUUGGUAGGACUAUUGUAACAACCCAAUUUUAGUAUUUAUUUAUUAUACUAUUAUUAUUAUAUUGUAUUUUAAUUAUGUGGAGUUGUAAUUAAUUAAUUGGUUGUUAGGUAGUAUAAUAAUUGACUAUACUAAUUGAAUUGGUGUAUUAAUUAAUUAUUUAGUUGAUAUGAGAUAUAAUUAAAUAAUUAUAUUAAUUAACUUAGAGUGUAUGUUGAGUUGGUUAAUUUAUUUCAAUUNAUCACUAAUUUUUAUCACAAUUCUUAGUUAUAUAUAUUAUACUUACUUAACAACAUCAAAUUAUUACAACUCCACAUAAUUAAAUACAUACAUAUAUAAUAAGUAUAUAAAUAAUCAAUAAUAAGAUUGUUACCAAAGUCCUACCAAUUAGGCAACGUCUCUGAGUUUUUUGACUGUGAAUUGAGAACUUGGUUGGAACCUCGAAUUUCACACUCCACUUAUGAUUAUGGAGUGGAGAUGGAAAAUUGGAAGUCAUAUUCGUCUUCCUUGAUUUUCUCUUUCACUUGGUAUUGAUCCAUCAUUUUGUAAACUUUUUUUUGACGAGUCUGGUGAGUCUCACGGAGAAGCGACCAGAGCUACGGCUCGCGUGGUUGUUGGGCUUGCCUCCCCUCAUAUCUUCAUUCUAUUUUUAAUCCUGACCCUUGCUUCUGAUUACCAAGUGUGUGUACACGCUUGACGUGGCUGCAUGAUGGGCGUUGGUGUUGUGCCAUCAAUCUGCCACCUCAUUAAUGAGGGAGAUCUGAUGGCCCAUGUUUUUUUGUUUAUUUUUGUUUUGUAUUUUUUUAUUGAAAUUUUCUCAAAUAUUCACUAUAAUUCAUUUUUAAUCCAAAAAUUAUGGGACCACCACGAAAUUUUCAAAAUUUCUUACUUCAUUUUUUAUUUAAAUUAAAUUUUGAUUGAGUUUGAUAUAUUUGUGAUCUUGUGAUUUUUGAAUUGUUUUAAUGAUUUUAAUACUUUGGCUUUGGAAAUGGCCAAAGAAACUCGUCAAGGUACCUUUGCUUGUUUGACUUGAUAAUCCCUUGGCCUUCUUGGGAUUUAGGGUUUGACUUUGACCUUUAAUGAUUUUUUCUUCAUUUUAAAAUGUUUUAAUUGGUUAUUGUUUAAUGUUUUGUUGAGCUCUUGUGUUGAUUGUGUUGACUCUACUUUUGUUUGGUCUUGGCUCUAGUUUUGGUUGAUUGGACCUUGAUUGGUCACAUUGGAUUUAGGGGUCAUGGAAUUUUGAAUUAUCCUCAAGAUCAAAUGCUCGUUGUUAGAUUCAUGACGUUUGUCAGUAUGAAACUGCGUUGAUUGAGAUAGGCCUGCAUCCCCUCUUAUUUUGUGUGUGGUAUAUUUCAGCAGCUUGCGUUUGAUCCUUGUCUCUGAUGGACCUAACAUAUUUAUUGAUACGAGCACAGAUAGUGUGACUUAUAAUAGUCAAUCAAUUAUCGUCUUAAUAGCGCUUAAAUUUGUCCCAAGAUGCAUUCUUGUAAAGUGAAUGUCAGUCUCUAUUCCUCAUCGGUCGUGUGAAUUUGCUCCUUUUCAUUUAUGAGAAGUUAGUAGCAUCUUGUUGAUUGUCUCCAAUUGAAGCUUCAUAAAGGAUGCAUGGUUCUAUUUUCAUGCUUGUGGGUGAUGGUGGAGUGUUCUCCAAAGAAUGACUAAACAUUUUUUCUUUUCAAACAUUAACUAAUCUUAUCUUAUCUUUAUCUUAGUGUCAUCUACUUUGUUUUAUUUCUUGUAUUAAUUAUGUUUUAUUUUAGCAUCUCUAUCAUUUUUCUCUUUCCCACUUAAGCUAAUGUUUAUGCUUUGUCUUUUAUUCUGCACUUGAGCAUUGUAUUUGUGCUUGUCUAUAUUUGUGCUUGUGAUCUUGUUCUGGUUGUUGCCUUAGGACCUUAAACACUUAAUAAAGACAAAAAACCCUAAAAAUACAUUGGUGGAUGUUGGCUCGGGUCUGUGACUUAAUUUGGACAGAUGGACUUUGAGUGGACAACAUUCCUGAGCUAUGGAAGUAUUGGGCAUGCCUUAUUUGAGACUAACGAUUUAGACCUAGUUCAUGGUUAUACAAGCUGAGAUACUCUUGGUUUAACUAAUACACUCUUCUCUCUGUCUAAUUUGUUUAUUUUGUCUAUUGUUAUCUUUGAUGUUCUCUCUGUGAGUCUGCUUCAAAGGGAUUUUUCAUCUGAGAAAUCUAAGGGACAUUGAAGAUUGCUUGCUUUGGAGUGCUUGUGGAUGUUUGGUUUCUUUAUUUGAUACUUUUGUUUCUUAUUAAUGCUUGUGGAUUAUGCGUUGUUGUUUGCUUGACAUCCAAAGAAAUGGGUCUGUUCUGCUAUUGUCUUGUGGAUGUUUCCCAUGGUUAGAUCUUUCAACUCUAAAUUUAUCUUGUAAGAUAGUCCUCAUCUCCUGCUCCUUUAUUAUUUCAAAACCUCUCGCUCGUCAUUUUCAACUUCUUGCUUGUUUUUUUUCAACUUAUAUUGUUUAAUGAGUAGAAACUUGGCUUUUUGCACUGAUUUUCAAACUACGUUUUAAUCAAUUUUGUAAAGGUUAUAUAUUGAUCUAUUUUCAAAAGACAAAAGAGAUAACAAUCAUCUAACCAUUUUGGACUUUUGUGCCUUUUUCCUUUAAAAAUCUUAUAAGAAGCAUAGAUUUAGUAUCCUUGCGUAUUGUAUCUAAUCUCCAUUCAUGAUAUGUUGGUGUAAGACUUUUUAUUUAAGGGCUGUUUAGUGGCUUAUUUGAUUUAGUUCAAGUUGGAGCCCUCCUCUUAAAUGUUGUAAAGCCCUCAUAUCGGUGAUGUUGUGAGUAUGUCUCCAUUGAUAACGAAAAGAUCUUUACUUAUGUUAAAUCAUCCACCCCAUCUUUGAAUUUUUUUCCAUAGGAUCGACGUAGUUUUCACCUACUUUAAUGUUGGGUACGUAGCACGAGACCAAACUAUGUCGCCAAACAAAUGUAAAUAAUGAUAUCUUUCUCAUUCCCUCAUUCUAAUUUAUUAAGCAACCAUCUUUUCAACCAAAACACUUACACACAAUGGGCUCCUAGGAUAUACUAGGACAGUUGUGCUAAAUAUCUUCCCUCGUGAACACCCCUUACUUGUAACUCUGAAUUUAUUUCGUUGAUUUUAAAACUUCUUAUUCUUCGGGUUUUGUUGUACUUCUCCAUUUCCUCUGGAAUUACACAACGCUCGUGUUGACUCUUUUUUAUUUAUGUUGAGUUAACCAAUUAGCUUCAGUGGUCAUGAAUUCACCGCUACUAACACAUGAUGUAGCUAUGUUAUACCGGGAUUUUACUCUAAAUAUUCACCCUGCUAUAUUUGUCCUUUCAACCAAUAUCGAAGCAGGUAUCUUCUUAACUUCACCUAUUUGGGCUUACCUUUGAUGGGAGAUCAUAAGCACUUUUUGGUUUUUUUACUUUUUGUUUGCGUGCUUAAACGUUUCCUAACCUUAUUCAAUAAAAAUAUGCGUGUUUCCUUUUAUUAUUGUGUAGGUAGGACUCCAAUCAAACGAUCAAGCUUGGUUUCUAAAGUAGGGUUUGGAUGCCCACAGUUUAAGUGGUCACAAGUGGUUUCACAAGGCUUUACUUUUCAACGGACAUGACCUAACCUUAGCCAUGUUCAUCUUAUAAUUCAUUCAUCACACUUGAAUCAAAGAUAAGUUCAAGUUUGUGCAUGAUUCAAAGUGAUUAAUAUGGUUUCAUGGUCAUUUAUUUCCAUGUGUCUCCAUCACAAUUUGAAGCAAUCAUCAGAUAAUUUUCACACGGGACAACUCAGUUCCCUCAUUUUUGUCCAGUUUCAUAUUGGGGCCUUGGAUGCAAAAAUGAAAUAAAUCACACCAGUUGGGUACAUGUUUGGUGACCUAAAAUCAGUAUGGCCAAUGUCACUGUCCAAACACUUAACUCUGUCCUUUCUCAUACUUUGGAUCUACUUCGAGCCAAUGUCAUAUUUGAACUCCUACUACAACUUUGCUCAAAGGGUUAAACAUAGUUUUUUCCUCUAAGUCAUCAAUUUGAAUGGCCGAAGAUGCCAGUGUGCACAAAAGUGGCCCAGACAUGGAUUGACCUAAUACCUGGCCGAGAUUUCGAUAACGCCUCAAUUUCCAUCCAUACCAUUUCACUCCAAGUAUUUUUGAUUGAAUUAUUGUGUUUAUUCUCACUAUGUGGAGAUCAUGGACAAGACAUCUCAAACACAAGUGGAUUUCAUUUGGCCUAAGCUCAAAUCAUGGUACCAUGAACUUGCAUUUCAUCGCAUCGACCUGUGACUGUAGCAUCCAAAUCUUCCUGGGACCACCAAUACAGUGUGCAAACUGUAUGUAUUGUAAACGAUCGCUAGAUUGGCAGUGUAAACACCAAGUUCAUGCCAAGUCACAUUUCACCCUUGCUCUCACAUAGGAUUGGCAAACACAAUCAAAGAUCACUCCACAUUCACAAUGAGUCAAUCUUUUUCCAUGUGUGAGCGUCCCACACUUUUCCUAAUAUAAGAGAAGACAUUCCUCCAUUUUCAAGCUUGGAUAACCAAGAUAAACGCAGUUGAGUGUGUGAAACUUCUGAGCCGAUACACUCAAAACAGCUAAACCAUUUCUUGAUCUAUAUUUUUUAGCUUCAAAUCUUUUCCCAAUCACUCAUCGCACCUUCUGAAGCUACUAGCAUACAGCAUGCUGGUUGCUAGGGUUAAAACUCCUGGUGCCAGCUUCCACCACCGUCAUUGACCUUUGAAGCUUCAAGCGGAAAGGUAGAUCGAAGUUAACAUUUAGAGUAACAAGGGUCCAGUGAGCAUCUUGUAUUUUACAGUUACUACCAUUUCAUUAAAUUAGUUCGGGUUUUUUCUGCAUGUUUCACUCUUGUUUAUUCAUCUCAUGGAUUAAUUUUAUGUCCUUUUUUAAUUAGAUUUUUUCCUAUUUUCUUAUUAUAGCAGUCAUUUUCGCAUUUACCAUUUAAGGAUCCCAAUUAGGUUGAAUGCUAGGUUUGUCUAGUCGGUAGUAUGUAUUUGUUUCUCUCUACGCAGGUAUGUUGCCUGAUCCCUUUCAUCCUUCCGUACUUUUUAUAUAGUAUUCUGCGAGUCUUGUUAGUUUCCCAGCGAGUAGGUAGUAUAAUAAUUGACUAUACUAAUUGAAUUGGUGUAUUAAUUAAUUAUUUAGUUGAUAUGAGAUAUAAUUAAAUAAUUAUAUUAAUUAACUUAGAGUGUAUGUUGAGUUGGUUAAUUUAUUUCAAUUUAAAUAGAGAUAUUUAAAUAUUAGGUAUUAUUGGGCCUAGUGAUUAAAUUAGAUGGAUAUCAUGAUUUAAGCCCAAAGAGAAUACUAAUAUAAAUAGUAAGAGGUGAGAAGAGUGAGAGUUAGAAUUCAGUUGAUCAUUAAAGGCAAUAGAGAAAGAGGAGAGGAAAAGUAAAGAGAAGCUAGGGUUUCCAUCAAAUUGAAGUGGUAAAGGGGGAAUUCUUAUUAUUAUGGGUUAGCAUGAUCGAGUCAAUGGGUAGGAACAUGUUUAGGUCGAAAUCCUUAAUUUGCAUGGUUUUGUAAUUAUUAGGUUUGAUAAAUACUCUUGAUUUGUGAUGAUUGGAUUAUGCUAAAACCGUAAAUUUAUGUUCUAUGGCGUGAGUUAUAAUUUUCUGAACGUGUAGCUUUUUACGGAAUCGAAAUCGGAGGUCCGAAGGUCCUCUAAAGAUGAGAAACGUGGAGAAUUUUACAUUUUGUUUCGUUGUUAACGCAGGAAUAGCAUUCUGUUUUGCGUUAACCGGUUAACCCAGGGCGUUAACCGGUUAACACUGUUAAAAACCUGGUAAAUUUGUAUUCUGUCUUGCGUUAACAGGUUAACCCAGGGCGUUAACCGGUUAACACUAUUGAAACACUAUUAAAAUUGCAUUCUGUCUUGCGUUAACAGGUUAACCCAGGGCGUUAACCGGUUAACACUGUUGAAAACCUAUUAAAUUUGUAUUCUGUCUUGCGUUAACAGGUUAACCAAAUGCGUUAACAGGUUAGCACUGUUUGAAAAGUGAAAAAUUGAUAUUUAAAUGUUGUAUUCGUUUUAGGAUGAAAUCUAUGUCUACAUAAUUGAUAAUUAACCUAUAAUUGUGAAUGAUAUAUUGUUAUGAGGGUGUAUAUGUACCAGUGGGGGAUAAUUCAUAGUGUUGGAUUAUGGUGAUAUGUGGAAGGUUAAGAUGGUAGAGAUGAUCUUAAUUGCAUAUGUGUUGGUAUGUGUGCAUUCAUUCAUAGCAUGGUCGACUUCAUUGUGGAAGUGGUGAAACUGUGGGUUCACAUGGUAAUAGACGUUGAUCCUUAAUUGGAAAUAGGCGUAGUGGCUUGGAUUCUAGAUAUUGAAUCGGAAAGCGGUGGAACGUUGGGUCCAUAUAGACGUUGAUCCUUAAUUGGAAAUAGGCGUAGUGGCUUUGAUCUUGUCCGGAUCGGAGUGUGGCUUGGAUUCUAGAUAUUGAAUCGGAAAGCGGUGAAACUUUGGGUUCACAUUGAGGUACCGCAUGCAUAGAGUCACAUGUCUUGCAUUGAGUCACAGUUGAAUGUUGUAUUGUUGUGAUUGUGAUGUGUGUACGAGUUAUAGUAGUUGAAUUUGGUGAUGUUUGGAUACCUAACUUGGUGAAAUAUGUGAUUAUGUGAUAAUUGUGGUUAUGUGUAUAUUUGAGAAUAUUGUAUUGAAUUUUAAUAUUAACUCCUUGAGUAUUGAGGUAUGUUUGAAAUAUGCGAAAUAAAUACUGGUUAUUAUUAUUGACAUGAUUAUACAAAGUGUGAUGAAUUCUUUUAAUUGUUGAUUUAAUCAUUGUGCCUUAUUAUGCUAUUUCAUAAUGAUUUGAAUUCUCACCCUUUCUGUUUGAAUGUUACCUUUACAUGGGUAUCGUGCAGAUACUACAGAGUAGUAUUGCUGGAGUAAGUGGACGGUAGCUCGCUCAAGAUUAGCUGGAGAGUUCCCGUAUUUUAGUUUGAGAUUAGGUAAUGAGUCAAUGCUCGGUCAUGUAACACUGGGUAGAUUGGUAGUAUUGAACUCAUAUCGUAUUUGGAUAUGCAUUAUGUUAUUACUUACUUUAUUUUAUCUUGAGAUGAUUCUUGAGAGAUGAUCAUGGUAUGGGACAUGAAUCAUUUUGUAAUAUGCAUGGAUAUUCAUAUUUUUCGCUGUGAACGCAUAUUGUUUGAAUAUUCAUGAUAAGUGAAAUGUGUUAUUUUGAAUGACCAGGUGUGUUGUUGGUUUUUGAAAGCUUUUAGUUUUGAAAACGUCGAUGUGACGCCCUUUUGUUUGUAUGCGUGCUUAUUUACUCUGAUUGUAUAUUAAGUAUUUUGGGGUAGAAAAAGGGUGUUACAUAAGUGGUAUCAGAGCAUGGUCGACCAGUUGGUCUAUAGUCGUUAGGGUUUUCAAUCCCGUUGUAUUUGAUUCGUGUAUCUGACACGAUCGAUACUAUUUGGCAGGUUGGUCCGUCCGGCCAGGUUGUUUAAUUAUGUUUGUUCCCUAGUAUGCGACAUGUGUGUGAGAACACUGUCGAUGCUUGUUUUAUUUUCCAUUGCAGGUUGGGAAUGAAAUAAGUGGGGGAGAAACGUCUACUUAUCUUGGAUGUUCCAAUUGUAUCGAGCUUGGAUAUUAUGUUGUUGCAUGCAAGAGUUUAGUGUUGGCUAGUUAACCUGUUUUGGAGAAUGUUGUACUUUUCCUGAACCCGAAGAGAGGUCAGAUUCGAGGAUGGCGUUGGUUAGAAGUUAAUCGGGUGUAUAUCAACUAUUUCGAGAAGACGGUUACUUUUCCUAAGGUUGGUGCUAAGGAAGAUUGGUGUGUGUCUGCUAAGCAAGUUGAUGAAUCGGUGCAAGAUGGUGCCGAGUUGUUUAUGUUGUUGGCAACAUCGGAUAUUCGGGAGAAGAGGACGAUUGAAGAAUUGCCAAUAGUUUGUGAGUUUGCGGAGGUAUUUCCGGAAGAUAUAAGUGAUUUACCGCCGGAACAUGAGAUUGAGUUUUCGAUUGAUUUAGUUCCUGGAACUAGUCCGGUAUUGAUGGCUCCCUAUAGAAUGUCCACUUCUGAGUUGAAAGAGUUGAAGUGUCAACUUGAAGACUUGCUUGAGAAGAAGUUUAUUCGUCCUAGUGUGUCGCCAUGGGGUGCACCUGUUCUGUUGGUCAAGAAGAAAGAAGGUUCUAUGAGACUAUGUGUUGAUUAUAGACAACUGAAUAAAGUGACGAUUAAGAACAAGUAUCCACUUCCGAGGAUUGACGAUCUAAUGGAUCAGCUGGUUGGAGCUUGUGUGUUUAGCAAGAUUGACUUGAGGUCUGGAUAUCAUCAGAUUCGGGUAAAGGCUGAGGAUAUUCAAAAGACUGCUUUUAGGACAAGGUAUGGUCACUACGAGUACUCCGUGAUGCCUUUUGGUGUGACUAAUGCACCUGGUGUAUUUAUGGAGUAUAUGAAUAGAAUUUUUCAUGAUUAUCUGGAUAAGUUUGUGGUUGUGUUCAUCGAUGAUAUAUUGAUUUAUUCCAAGGGUGAAGAAGAUCAUGCAGAGCAUUUGAAGGUUGUGUUAUUGGUGUUGAAAGAGAGGAAGUUGUUUCCUAAACUCUCUAAAUGUGAAUUUUGGUUGAGUGAAGUAAGUUUUCUUGGACAUGUGAUUUCGAGUGGUGGGAUUUCUGUGGAUCCUACGAAGAUUGAAGCUGUAUCUCAGUGGGAAGCUCCUAAGUCUGUUGCUGAGAUUCAAAGUUUCCUUGGUUUGGCUGGUUAUUAUAGGAAGUUCAUUGAAGGGUUUUCUAAGUUGUCGUUACCGUUGACGCAAUUGACUAGGAAAGGUCAAGCUUUCAUUUGGACUUCGUAGUGUGAAGCGAAUUUUCAAGAGCUUAAGAUAGGAUUGACUACGGCUCCUAUUUUAAUUUUACCGGAUCCGUUAGAAACUUUCGUGGUGUACUGUGAUGCUUCUUUGUUGGGUUUAGGAGGUGUUCUGAGGCAAAAAGGGCAAGUGGUAGCUUAUGCUUCAAGGCAACAUAAAGUUCAUGAGAGGAAUUAUCCGACGCAUGAUUUAGAGUUGGCCGCCUUUGUGUUUGUGUUGAAGCUUUGGAGACAUUAUUUGUUUGGAUCGAGAUUUGAUGUGUUUAGUGAUCACAAGAGUUUGAAGUACUUGUUCGAUCAGAAGGAACUGAAUAUGAGGCAAAGGAGAUGGUUGGAAUUCUUGAAAGAUUACGAUUUUGGUUUGAAUUAUCAUCCUGGAAAGGCGAAUGUUGUAGCCGAUGCAUUGAGUAGGAAGUCAUUGCACAUGUCUAUGUUGAUGAUUCGAGAGUUUGAAUUGUUGGAGCAAUCUAGAGAUUUGAGUUUGGUUUGUGAAGCAACGUCUUCAUGUGUUAAGCUUAGGAUGUUGAAGCUUAUGUGUGGCAUUCUUGACGAGAUUAGAUAAGGUCAUAAGUCAGAUUUGAAGUUAGUCGAUGUUAUGACAUUGAUUAACCAAGGUAAAGGUGGUGACUUUCGGAUUGAUGAGAAUGGUAUCCUGAAGUGUUGUGAUCGAGUUUAUGUUCCGGAUGUUGCGGAUUUGAGGAAGAGGAUUCUUGAGGAAGGGCAUAGAAGUGGUUUGAGUAUUCAUCCUGGUGCUACUAAAAUAUAUCAAGACUUGAAGAAGAUGUUUUGAUGGCAAGGUAUGAAGAAGGAUGUAGCGGAAUUUGUGUAUUCAUGUUUGACUUGUCAAAAGUCAAAGAUUGAACCUCAAAAGCCGUCUGGUUUGAUGCAACCAUUAUCUAUUCCCGAGUGGAAGUGGGAUAGUAUCUCUAUGGAUUUUGUUUCGGGUUUGCCGAGAACAUCGAGUAAUUGUGAGGCGAUUUGGGUCGUUGUGGACAGGUUGACGAAAUGUGCUCAUUUUAUUCCGAUGAGGAUGGAUUAUUCGAUGGAGAGACUUGCUAAGUUGUACAUCGAGAGGAUUGUGUGUUUGCAUGGUAUUCCGUCGAGCAUUGUUUCGGAUAGAGAUCCGAGGUUCACUUCGAGAUUUUGGGAAGGUUUGCAAAGUGCUUUGGGUACGAAGUUGCGUUUGAGUUCGGCAUAUCAUCCGCAAACUGAUGGUCAAACGGAGAGGACUAUUCAGUCACUUGAAGAUCUUUUGAGGUCUUGUGUUUUGGAACAAGGAGGAAAUUGGGAUAGUUUCUUGCCUUUGAUCGAGUUUACGUAUAACAACAGUUUCCAUUCGAGUAUUGGAAUGGCACCUUUUGAGGCUCUUUAUGGUAGAAGGUGUAGAACUCCUUUGUGUUGGUACGAAUCGGGAGAGAGUGUUGUGGUUGGACCCGAGUUGAUUCAAGAGACUACGGAUAAGAUUAAGAUGAUUCAAGAGAAGAUGAAGGCUUCUCAGAGUCGUCAAAAGAGUUAUCAUGAUAAGAGGAGGAAAGCUCUUGAGUUUGAGAAAGAUGAGCAUGUGUUUCUUCGAGUUACGCCAAUAACGGGUGUUGGUAGAGCUUUGAAGUCGCGUAAGUUGACGCCGCGUUUCAUUGGUCCUUAUCAGAUUUCCGAGAGGGUAGGUGAAGUGGCAUAUCGGAUUGCAUUACCACCGUCACUUUCUAAUCUUCAUGAUGUGUUCCAUGUGUCUCAAUUGAGGAGGUACAUUGCGGAUCCAUCGCAUGUUGUUCCAUUAGAUGAUGUCCAAGUGAGGGAUAAUUUGACGGUUGAUACAUCACCUAUGCGAAUUGAAGAUCGAGAAGUCAAGAAGCUUCGUGGUAAGGAGAUUGCUUUGGUGAAAGUGAUAUGGGGUGGAGUCGCCAAUGGCAAUAUUACGUGGGAACUCGAGGAUAAGAUGAAGGAAUCAUAUCCGGAGUUGUUCGCUUGAGGUAAAAAUUUUAGGACGAAAAUCUUUUAAGUGGGGGAGAGUUGUAACAACCCAAUUUUAGUAUUUAUUUAUUAUACUAUUAUUAUUAUAUUGUAUUUUAAUUAUGUGUAGUGGUAAUUAAUUAAUUGGUUGUUAGGUAGUAUAAUAAUUCACUAUACUAAUUGAAUUGAUGUAUUAAUUAAUUAUUUAGUUGAUAUGCGAUAUAAUUAAAUAAUUAUAUUAAUUAACUUAGAGUGUAUGUUGAGUUGGUUAAUUUAUUUCAAUUUAAAUAGAGAUAUUUAAAUAUUAGGUAUUAUUGGGCCUAGUGAUUAAAUUAGAUGGAUAUCAUGAUUUAAGCCCAAAGGUCGGAACCUAGUGAGAGUUAGAAUUCAGUUGAUCAUUAAAGGCAAUAGAGAAAGAGGAGAGGAAAAAUAAAGAGAAGCUAGGGUUUCCAUCAAAUUGAAGAGGUAAGGGGGGAAUCCUUAUUAUUAUAGGUUAGCAUGAUCAAGUCAAUGGGUAGGAACAUGUUUAGGUCGAAAUCCUUAAUUUGCAUGGUUUUGUAAUUAUUAGGUUUGAUAUUAUGAGAACUAAACACUACUAACCUAACACGACUUUGGCAUUUAAAUUGUUCUAUGGCGUGAGUUAUAAUUUUCUGAACGUGUAGCUUUUUACGGAAUCGAAAUCGGAGGUCCGAAGGUCCUCCAAAAAUGAGAAACGCGGAGAAUUCUGCAUUCUGUUUCUUUGUUAACGCAGGAAUAGCAUUCUGUUUUGCGUUAACCGGUUAACCCAGGGCGUUAACCGGUUAACACUGUUGAAAACCUGUUAAAUUUGUAUUCUGUCUUGCGUUAACAAGUUAACCCAGGGCGUUAACCGGUUAACACUGUUGAAAUACUAUUAAAAUUGCAUUCUGUCUUGCGUUAACAGGUUAACCCAGGGCGUUAACCGGUUAACACUGUUGAAAACCUGUUAAAUUUGUAUUCUGUCCUGCGUUAACAGGUUAACCAAAUGCGUUAACAGGUUAACACUGUUUGAAAUGUGAAAAAUUGAUAUUUAAAUGUUGUAUUCGUUUUAGGAUGAAAUCUAUGUGUACAUAAUUGAUAGUUAACCUAUAAUUGUGAAUGAUAUAUUGUUAUGAGGGUGUAUAUGUACCAGUGGGGGAUAAUUUAUAGAGUUGGAUUAUGGUGAUAUGUGGAAGGUUAAGAUGGUAGAGAUGAUCUUAAUUGCAUAUGUGUUGGUAUGUGUGCAUUCAUUCAUAGCACGGUCGACUUCAUUGUGGAAGUGGUGAAACUGUGGGUUCACAUGGUAAUAGACGUUGAUCCUUAAUUGGAAAUAGGCGUAGUGGCUUGGAUUCUAGAUAUUGAAUCGGAAAGCGGUGGAACGUUGGGUCCAUAUAGACGUUGAUCCUUAAUUGGAAAUAGGCGUAGUGGCUUUGAUCUUGUCCGGAUCGGAGUGUGGCUUGGAUUCUAGAUAUUGAAUCGGAAAGCGGUGAAACUUUGGGUUCACAUUGAGGUACCGCAUGCAUAGAGUCACAUGUCUUGCAUUGAGUCACAGUUGAAUGUUGUAUUGUUGUGAUUGUGAUGUGUGUACGAGUUAUAGUAGUUGAAUUUGGUGAUGUUUGGAUACCUAACUUGGUGAAAUAUGUGAUUAUGUGAUAAUUGUGGUUAUGUGUAUAUUUGAGAAUAUUGUAUUGAAUUUUAAUAUUAACUCCUUGAGUAUUGAGGUAUGUUUGAAAUAUGCGAAAUAAAUACUGGUUAAUAUUAUUGACAUGAUUAUACAAAGUGUGAUGAAUUCUUUUAAUUGUUGAUUUAAUCAUUGUGCCUUAUUAUGCUAUUUCAUAAUGAUUUGAAUUCUCACCCUUUCUGUUUGAAUGUUACCUUUACAUGGGUAUCGUGCAGAUACUACAGAGUAGUAUUGCUGGAGUAAGUGGACGGUAGCUCGCUCAAGAUUAGCUGGAGAGUUCCCGUAUUUUAGUUUGAGAUUAGGUAAUGAGUCAAUGCUCUGGUCAUGUAACACUGGGUAGAUUGGUAGUAUUGAACUCAUAUCGUAUUUGGAUAUGCAUUACGUUAUUACUUACUUUAUUUUAUCUUGAGAUGAUUGUUGAGAGAUGAUCAUGGUAUGGGACAUGAAUCAUUUUAUAAUAUGCAUGGAUAUUCAUAUUUUCCGCUGUGAACGCAUAUUGUUUGAAUAUUCAUGAUAAGUGAAAUGUGUUAUUUUGAAUGACCAGGUGUGUUGUUGGUUUUUGAAAGCUUUUAGUUUUGAAAACGUCGAUGUGACGCCCUUUUGUUUGUAUGCAUGCGUAUUUACUCUGAUUGUAUAUUAAGUAUUUUGGGGUAGAAAAAGGGGUGUUACAACUAUAGUCAUCAACAAAUUUAGUCAAGAUCUUGAGAAUUGAAGGAGAAUCGAAGAGGUGAAGUUUGAGAAAAAUCACGUUCAGGGAGCAGCUUUGGAGCUUGAUCUUUGAUGCAAUUCCACUUGAUUUCUCUUCCUCUUACUUACUGAAGUCCAAUGGGAUGAAAAUGUCAAUGAAUCCUUUGAGUUCUUGUGCACAAACAGAAAUUGAAUAAGUGCUCGAUUUUAGGAGAAAUCUUCAAGGAAUUCUAUGUUCUGAGGUUAUGGUAUUGAUUAACAAAGUUAGGGCAAGGUUCC